CGACCUUGGGACUACACAGCCUUCGUACGCACGUACGCGCUAUACCUCGACGAGAGGCUCGACUGCUUCUUAACCGGGAAGCUACGGAGACGGUACACUACUAAUAACAAGAACCAAACCGGGAUCAGAUCCCGGUUUAAUCCGAGAACUAAUAAUAAUUUACAAAGCUAAAAAUCAAAACUUUCAUCAACCCUUUUAAUACUAACAAUCAAAGAUAGAAACUUUGAAUGUGAUUAUUACCGGAGAGGAGGAGAUUGUCGUCGAACUUGGAGAGGGGGACGAAGUCGGUGAGUUUUCUUUUGCCGGUACAGCCUGUUCGCUUCUUGUGAGCUUUGACACAAGGGAGGGCGCAUGAUCGAAUUGAGCAUCCUGGGCAUUUGUAUUUCCAUGGGUUCGACUUGCAUUCGCCGCAGACUUUAUCAUCAUCGUCCAUUGAUUUUUGUUCGGAUUCGAUGUUGUUCAUCGUUAAAGGUUUGGUUUUUUUGAGGUGGGGAGAGGUUUUAUGGAAACUAGGGUUUAUUAAUCUGAGAGAGGAGACAUGUAUGUUUUCAAAUUUACAUUAUAGUCUCCGUAUUUAUCAUUUAUUACGAAUACACCCCAUAACUUUUAAGAUGAAUACUAAAUUCGACAAGUUUGAUUUACACUUUAGAAUUUUGGUUCCAUAUAAUCAAAUCCAUGUUCCCCGGAAGGCGAGAAGACGAGGAGGCUGAGAGAUAUGACAGUGGCACACUUGAAACGAUUGGAAGAAUAUACAAGGUUGAAAUACCCAGGCCCGGCUCAAAGUUUGAGCUUCAACAUAGAUUACAAAGAGGUAUGUGGAUGAUCCAUAUAUCUGUUUCAGACACACCUAAUGUCAUAUAUAUAGCUUUAGAUUGCUCCAAUGAUAUUAUGUGUAGAAAAACUAGGAUAAGAGACUUAGGUAAACUUUGAGGGAAAAAAACUGCCGUAAACUUUUGAGUAACAAGGGAAUUCUGAUUGUUUGAAUAAUGGUAGAAAACCGACAAAAAAAUAAAGAAUAGUGAUAGAAAUUCCAAAAGGUUUUAAGUUUUUGGACCACGAAAAAAUUGAAAGAGCUUCUUAUAAUCAACGAAGUUGAGAUAUAGCCUUGUAAUGAAUGGUCAGAAGAAGAUUGUAUAUCAUGAGUAGCUGGACCAGACUUCUUUUUGUUAAUCCACACCACAGCGAAAAUCCCAAAAAUGUCAUUGUUUGCUUUGCUACCGACAGUAAUAAAGUUUCAGCUUGCACUUGCUAGGAAGUAGCUGCAAGAACAAUUUAAAGAGAUGUAUUUAGUUAAAAGUUUAAAAUAAUUUGAUUCAAGUUAUGAAUUUUUAAAUUUUCUAAAUUAUUUAGAGUGUUUGGAUGAAAUUUUCAUUAUUUUAGAUGAAAUUCUAGAGUUGAAGCUGUUUAACAAAAAAAAAAUUUAUUUAACUCUCAAAGUUAUAAAAACAAUCCACAAACUCAAGUCACCUCAAACUCACGAUCGAGUAGCCCUACAUAUUUGGUUUUUUCGCAUAGACUGGGACAUUUCAAACUUUUCCACGCACAUUAUUGGAGGUAAGAAUAUUCAAUGAUUCAGAUGUUACAAACUCUCGCUAAGAGUAAUGCAAUAGAUAGAGUAUUGACUCGAUUUAACUUUGCAGAAAAAAAAAUGAUUUAGCAGAAGAAAGAAAUAAACAAAUAUGAGGCUAAGAAGUUGUUAUCCCGUCGGCCUUUUUGCUGCGGUUAUGUGAAAAUCCUUUUUGUGAGAUAACAUUAGUAAUGAUGCACAUAGCCUUUGUGGAUUCAUGUAACCUUUAUGUCCAUUUCAUUGCAGUGCUGCCAUGUUGUGUUUCUAUUCGUAUGUGGUGCUCUCUGGAGGAAUCCCGCCUCCAAAGAAAUAGAAACCAUUUGCUAAUCCUUCAACUGAAGAAACUUUCCAUAGGUUUGAUUUUUAAAAAUAUGGUGUUGGAUUCGCGGUGUAAGUUUACACUUUUGAAUGGCUGCCUACACUUGUGACAGUUUCUUUAUGGCGUCAUAAUUUAAAGUUGUGAGUUUAGAUAGUAGAAUUAUUUACAAAAAUGUUGUAGUUCUCUUACACGUUGGGCAGAGUAAGCUCCAUAGUUACGCUGGUUAGAUCAAAUAAAUUGGUUACUAUAUAUUGUAUAAUACCAGUUUAAGUUAGAUAACCAAUACGGUUUAGUUUCCUUUUGCUUAAACCGUGUAUAUAUAUACAGUUGAUUGUAACAAACUUUGGUUAAUCAAUUCAAUUUAUUCUUUCGUUCAA
Long non-coding RNA from Brassica rapa (field mustard), 2263 nucleotides. RefSeq lists it as uncharacterized. Lineage: Eukaryota; Viridiplantae; Streptophyta; Magnoliopsida; Brassicales; Brassicaceae. The record is from RefSeq and is a predicted model, not a curated record.